This 759-nucleotide small RNA is filed under the name Dimetia hedyotidea. RNAcentral's name for it is "eukaryotic LSU rRNA". The stretch from base 313 to 468 matches the Rfam family "5.8S ribosomal RNA". The record is from RNAcentral. Lineage: Eukaryota; Viridiplantae; Streptophyta; Magnoliopsida; Gentianales; Rubiaceae.
AUUGCGGCGACGUGAGCGGUUCGCCGCCCGCGACGUCGCAAGAAGUCCACUGAACCUUAUCAUUUAGAGGAAGGAGAAGUCGUAACAAGGUUUCCGUAGGUGAACCUGCGGAAGGAUCAUUGUCGAAUCCUGCAAACCACCGUGAACACGUUUCGAAAAACAGCGGGCCGUCGGCGCGCUCCGGUUCGCCGGCGCCUGCACCUAACCAAACUUCCGGCGCGGAAUGCGCCAAGGACUACUUAAAACGGAUYGUCCGCGUCCUCCUUCGGAUUCCGCAGGUGGGGCGCGGGGCUUCUGAAUCGUAACCAACACGACUCUCGGCAACGGAUAUCUAGGCUCUCGCAUCGAUGAAGAACGUAGCGAAAUGCGAUACUUGGUGUGAAUUGCAGAAUCCCGUGAACCAUCGAGUUUUUGAACGCAAGUUGCGCCCGAAGCCAUCAGGCUGAGGGCACGUCUGCCUGGGCGUCACGCAUCGUCGCCCCCCCCUCGCCGCGUUCCGGCACCACGAGGCGGGUGACGGAUGUUGGCCUCCCGUGUCCCCGAGGCGCGGCCGGCCUAAAUCCGAGUCCUCCGUUCGGGACGUCACGACAAGUGGUGGUUGAAAACCUCAACUCGAUCGAAGCCGUGACCGAGACCGUGCGGCAUAGCUCAUGCAAGACCCCGGAGCCUUCGGGCCCUCGACAAUGACCCCAGGUCAGGCGGGACUACCCGCUGAGUUUAAGCAUAUCAAUAAGCGGAGGAAAAGAAACUAACAAGGAU